RNAcentral lists this ribosomal RNA (821 nucleotides) under uncultured bacterium. RNAcentral's name for it is "bacterial SSU rRNA". It matches the Rfam family "Bacterial small subunit ribosomal RNA", at positions 26 to 841 of the family's 1533-position model. The record is from RNAcentral.
GGAGNCGUGGCUGUGUGCCUAGGUAUGCUAGUCGGACGAUCCCUUUGAAUUACUUGAGACUUCGGUUGAUUGUUUUUCUUUUUGGGAUAGUGGCAAACGGGUGAGUAACAUGUGGAUUAUCUGCCCUGAAGACGGGAAUAGCUCAUCGAAAGAUGGGGUAAUACUCGAUAGCCUUACAUUCUUUUAGUAUGUAAGUAAAGCUUUUGCGCUUCAGGAGGAGUCCGCAUCCUAUCAGCUUGUUGGUGAGGUAAUGGCUCACCAAGGCUAAGACGGGUAGCUGGCGUGAGAGCGCGGUCAGCCACCAUGGGAACUGAGACACGGUCCAUACUCCUACGGGAGGCAGCAAUUAGGAAUCUUGCGCAAUGGGGGCAACCCUGACGCAGCGACACAGUGUGGAGGAGGAAGGUCUCCGGAUUGUAAACUCCUUUUAUGAGGGAAGAAUAGAUGACGGUACCUCAUGAAUAAGCACCUGCUAACUACGUGCCAGAAGCAUCGGUGAUGCGUAGGGUGCGAACGUUAUCCGGAUUUAUUGGGCGUAUAGAGAAGCGUAGGUGUUUUUGUAAGUCUUUAGUUAAAUACCACGGCUCAACCGUGGGGAAGCUUCGGAAACUACAGAAAUUGAGACAGGAAUGGGCGAAUGGNAAUUCCCAGUGGAGCGGUGAAAUGCGUUGAUAUUGGGAGGAACAUCAGUGGCGAAGGCGAUUCGCUGGUCCUUGUCUGACACUAAGGCUCGAAAGCGUGGGGGAGCGAAACGGAUUAGAUACCCGUGUAGUCCACGCCGUAAACAAUGGACGCUAGGUGUUCGGUACAACUACUUAAUC